Molecule: unclassified non-coding RNA, 229 nt
Filed under: Archaeospora sp.
Lineage: Eukaryota; Fungi; Glomeromycota; Glomeromycetes; Archaeosporales; Archaeosporaceae
Description: partial contains 5.8S ribosomal RNA and internal transcribed spacer 2
Rfam family: 5.8S ribosomal RNA (bases 1-71)
Source: RNAcentral
GUGAAUCAUCAAAUCUUUGAACGCAUAUUGCACUCUCUGGUAUUCCGGAGAGUAUGCCUGUUUGAGGGUCAUUUGAAAUAAUAUACAUUGCAAGAUUUCUCGGAAUUUAAAAUGGGUUGUCCAUUUUUUGUGUUCGCCUAAAAUCCAAGACAAGCUAAUUUUCUUGGGUUGCUUGAUACUUUUUGUAACCUUUUUACUUAACCAGGAAUCAUCGGGCGUUUUAUGUAUU